Molecule: unclassified non-coding RNA, 148 nt
Organism: Papio anubis (olive baboon)
Lineage: Eukaryota; Metazoa; Chordata; Mammalia; Primates; Cercopithecidae
Rfam family: Metazoan signal recognition particle RNA
About the family: The signal recognition particle (SRP) is a universally conserved ribonucleoprotein. It is involved in the co-translational targeting of proteins to membranes. The eukaryotic SRP consists of a 300-nucleotide 7S RNA and six proteins: SRPs 72, 68, 54, 19, 14, and 9.
Source: Ensembl
GCUGGGCGUGGUGGUGCAUGCCUGUAAUCCCAGCUACUCGGGAGGCUGAGGCAGGAGAAUUGCUUGAACCCGGGAGUUGAAGGUUGCAGUGAGCCGAGAUUGUGCCACUGUACUCCAGCCUGGAUAACAGAGCGAGACUCUGUCUCAA